Molecule: long non-coding RNA, 282 nt
Filed under: Capra hircus (goat)
Lineage: Eukaryota; Metazoa; Chordata; Mammalia; Artiodactyla; Bovidae
Description: lncRNA (ENSCHIG00010011538.1)
Source: RNAcentral
GAGGAAUAACACCUCAAGUCCUGUUCCAGGAAGGUCCAGGAACCCCAAACGUCCCGUUGCCUUCUCGCCUCCUCUGCUGAGAGGGGCAGAGCGGCUCACGUUGACAGACUGAAGGGUAAAUGUGCAAACGUUUAUGGUUAUGUUAUGAACAUAAUCACCUAUGUAUCUAAGGACAAAUUGCUCAUCUUCUUCAAACCCCAGAUUUAUUCUGAGCUCAUAAUAUGUCAUGGCACCAAAAAGAGGACUUUAAUAUUGGCCUUUCCCUGAACGACUUUACAGUCU